UUAUGGUUCCUGAUACUCAGCGUGAUCUUGCAUGUUUCGCAAGUGUUUGGAAUUAGAUUGGAAAGAUGGUGACCAUAAGAGAUGGGGACGUUAACGAAUUUUUUAUAAUCAGACAAACAGAGUGGCCUUUGUAAAGUCUUGGAGGUCGUUUUGAUUGGUGAUUUUGGGUGAUUUUGAAUGCAAUUAUUACAGAGAGAGAAAAAUAAAAGUAAAAUGAAAAACUAAAAAUACAAAAAUGCCUCCAGUUUCUUUAUGACUGUAUCAAUUAUCAAAGGAAAAGGGUAAAUUUGGUAAAAAUUCUCAAAUCCCCCCUUUCUUUUCCGAAAUCUCUACCUCCCCUAGGUGAUUUGAAAUCACCCACGAAAUUCUCUCCAGACCCUUAAGGUGGUUUCAAAUCUUCCCAAAUCCUUCUUGUUUUAGUGUCCAAAUGGGUGAUUUGGGACGAAAUCUCUUAUGAGGUCCAAAUGGGUGAUUUGGGAUGAAAUCUCUUAUGAGGUCCAAAUCACCCCCAAAUUACCAACCCAAACGACCCAUUGGUCUUAGAAAUCCAUAGACUUGGAGCCAUCAUGUAAAAUUCAUGGUAUCACACUGCAUUCUCCAGCUUGAAAAUACUUGGAAUUUCUAUGGUCAACUCCACAAAACUCAUUUGGAAUUGAUAAGAGGAUAACUUGCUUGUUUCAAAAUGUACUCUCUCUCUCUCUCUCUCUCUUCCGCUCUAAUUAUAUAAUAAGUAGUGAUCAUGCUCGAGAUAAAAAUUUGUUGAAGUUAGACUUGACAUCGGGGUGGAUUGAGGACAGGUUUUGUGCAUCUGAUCCCCUCCUACCGCAAUUGACGGGUUUCUCCGUCCCCGACACCAAACAGGUGGAAAGUGCAUACUGUUACUGUUAAAGAACAGAUUACGGAUAUCCACCAACCCCCAUCAAAGAAAAUAAUUAGAAAAAUGGAAUUGAAAUGUACAAAGAAGAUGAACUUCAUCUCAUUCAAGAACAAAGUUAAUAGCAAUAAUGCACUACAAACAAAAUGUAGCACUCUACAUACAUACCUAAAGUU
Molecule: long non-coding RNA, 1050 nt
Filed under: Linum usitatissimum (flax)
Lineage: Eukaryota; Viridiplantae; Streptophyta; Magnoliopsida; Malpighiales; Linaceae
Description: long non-coding RNA (LUSI_LNC007443)
Source: RNAcentral